RNAcentral lists this ribosomal RNA (255 nucleotides) under uncultured bacterium. RNAcentral's name for it is "partial 16S ribosomal RNA". It matches the Rfam family "Bacterial small subunit ribosomal RNA", at positions 524 to 776 of the family's 1533-position model. The record is from RNAcentral.
UACGGGGGGAGCAAGCGUUGUUCGGAUUUACUGGGCGUAAAGGGCGCGUAGGCGGCCACCGCAAGUCGACUGUGAAAUCUCCGGGCUUAACCCGGAAAGGUCAGCCGAUACUGCGGGGCUAGAGUGCAGAAGGGGCAACUGGAAUUCUCGGUGUAGCGGUGGAAUGCGCAGAUAUCAGGAGGAACACCAAUGGCGAAGGCAGCUCGCUGGGACGGUACUGACGCUGAGACGACGAAAGCGUGGGGAGCAAACAGG